RNAcentral lists this ribosomal RNA (2918 nucleotides) under Acinetobacter baumannii. RNAcentral describes it as "bacterial LSU rRNA". It matches the Rfam family "Bacterial large subunit ribosomal RNA". The record is from RNAcentral. Lineage: Bacteria; Pseudomonadati; Pseudomonadota; Gammaproteobacteria; Moraxellales; Moraxellaceae.
GUUGUAUAGUCAAGUAAUUAAGUGCAUGUGGUGGAUGCCUUGGCAGUCAGAGGCGAUGAAAGACGUGAUAGCCUGCGAAAAGCUCCGGGGAGGCGGCAAAUAUCCUUUGAUCCGGAGAUGUCUGAAUGGGGGAACCCACCUACUUUAAGGUAGGUAUUGCAACAUGAAUACAUAGUGUUGCAAGGCGAACGAGGGGAAGUGAAACAUCUCAGUACCCUUAGGAAAAGAAAUCAAUUGAGAUUCCCUCAGUAGCGGCGAGCGAACGGGGAUCAGCCCAUUAAGUUAUGUGUGUUUUAGUGGAACGCUCUGGGAAGUGCGAACGUAGAGGGUGAUAUUCCCGUACACGAAAGGGCACACAUAAUGAUGACGAGUAGGGCGAGGCACGUGAAACCUUGUCUGAAUAUGGGGGGACCAUCCUCCAAGGCUAAAUACUCCUGACUGACCGAUAGUGAACCAGUACCGUGAGGGAAAGGCGAAAAGAACCCCUGUGAGGGGAGUGAAAUAGAUCCUGAAACCGCAUGCAUACAAGCAGUGGGAGCACCUUCGUGGUGUGACUGCGUACCUUUUGUAUAAUGGGUCAGCGACUUAUAUUCAGUAGCGAGGUUAACCGUAUAGGGGAGCCGUAGAGAAAUCGAGUCUUAAUAGGGCGUUUAGUUGCUGGGUAUAGACCCGAAACCAGGCGAUCUAUCCAUGAGCAGGUUGAAGGUUGGGUAACACUAACUGGAGGACCGAACCCACUGUCGUUGAAAAGCCAGGGGAUGACUUGUGGAUAGGGGUGAAAGGCUAAUCAAGCCUGGUGAUAGCUGGUUCUCCCCGAAAGCUAUUUAGGUAGCGCCUCGGACGAAUACCAUAGGGGGUAGAGCACUGUUUCGGCUAGGGGGUCAUCCCGACUUACCAAACCGAUGCAAACUCCGAAUACCUAUGAGUACUAUCCGGGAGACAGACUGCGGGUGCUAACGUCCGUAGUCAAGAGGAAAACAAUCCAGACCGCCAGCUAAGGCCCCAAAAUCAUAGUUAAGUGGGAAACGAUGUGGGAAGGCAUAGACAGCUAGGAGGUUGGCUUAGAAGCAGCCACCCUUUAAAGAAAGCGUAAUAGCUCACUAGUCGAGUCGGCCUGCGCGGAAGAUGUAACGGGGCUAAAACUAUGUGCCGAAGCUGCGGAUGUAUACUUUGUAUACGUGGUAGGGGAGCGUUCUGUAAGCCGAUGAAGGUGUGUUGAGAAGCAUGCUGGAGGUAUCAGAAGUGCGAAUGCUGACGUGAGUAACGACAAAACGGGUGAAAAACCCGUUCGCCGAAAGACCAAGGGUUCCAGUCCAACGUUAAUCGGGGCUGGGUGAGUCGACCCCUAAGGCGAGGCCGAAAGGCGUAGUCGAUGGGAAAAUGGUUAAUAUUCCAUUACUUCUGUGUAAUGCGAUGAGAGGACGGAGAAGGCUAAAUCAGCCUGGCGUUGGUUGUCCAGGUGAAAGGAUGUAGGCAUGUAUCUUAGGCAAAUCCGGGGUACUCUAUGCUGAGAUCUGAUAGCAAGCUGUACUUGUACAGCGAAGUGGUUGAUGCCAUGCUUCCAGGAAAAGUCUCUAAGCUUCAGUUACACAGGAAUCGUACCCGAAACCGACACAGGUGGUCAGGUCGAGUAGACCAAGGCGCUUGAGAGAACUCUGCUGAAGGAACUAGGCAAAAUGGUACCGUAACUUCGGGAGAAGGUACGCUGUUGUUGGUGAUGGAACUCGCUUCCUGAGCUGACGACAGCCGCAGAAACCAGGCCGCUGCAACUGUUUAUUAAAAACAUAGCACUCUGCAAACACGAAAGUGGACGUAUAGGGUGUGAUGCCUGCCCGGUGCUGGAAGGUUAAUUGAUGGGGUUAGCGUAAGCGAAGCUCUUGAUCGAAGCCCCAGUAAACGGCGGCCGUAACUAUAACGGUCCUAAGGUAGCGAAAUUCCUUGUCGGGUAAGUUCCGACCUGCACGAAUGGCAUAAUGAUGGCGGCGCUGUCUCCAGCAGAGGCUCAGUGAAAUCGAAAUCGCUGUGAAGAUGCAGUGUACCCGCGGCUAGACGGAAAGACCCCGUGAACCUUUACUGCAGCUUGACACUGAACUUUGACCUUACUUGUGUAGGAUAGGUGGGAGGCUUUGAAGCUGGAACGCUAGUUCCAGUGGAGCCGUCCUUGAAAUACCACCCUGGUAAUGUUGAGGUUCUAACUCUGUCCCGUGAUCCGGGACGAGGACCGUGUCUGGUGGGUAGUUUGACUGGGGCGGUCUCCUCCUAAAGAGUAACGGAGGAGUACGAAGGUGCGCUCAGCGUGGUCGGAAAUCACGCGUAGAGUAUAAAGGCAAAAGCGCGCUUAACUGCGAGACCCACAAGUCGAGCAGGUACGAAAGUAGGUCUUAGUGAUCCGGUGGUUCUGUAUGGAAGGGCCAUCGCUCAACGGAUAAAAGGUACUCUGGGGAUAACAGGCUGAUACCGCCCAAGAGUUCAUAUCGACGGCGGUGUUUGGCACCUCGAUGUCGGCUCAUCUCAUCCUGGGGCUGAAGCAGGUCCCAAGGGUAUGGCUGUUCGCCAUUUAAAGAGGUACGCGAGCUGGGUUUAGAACGUCGUGAGACAGUUCGGUCCCUAUCUACCGUCGGCGCUGGAAAUUUGAGAGGAUCUGCUCCUAGUACGAGAGGACCAGAGUGGACGAACCUCUGGUGUACCGGUUGUGACGCCAGUCGCAUCGCCGGGUAGCUAUGUUCGGAAGGGAUAACCGCUGAAAGCAUCUAAGCGGGAAGCCUACCUCAAGAUAAGAUUUCCCUAGGACUUUAUGUCCUCUAAAGAGCCGUUCGAGACUAGGACGUUGAUAGGUUGGAUGUGGAAGCAUAGUGAUAUGUGAAGCUGACCAAUACUAAUUGCUCGUGAGGCUUGACUAUACAACACCCAAGCAGUUG